This 291-nucleotide long non-coding RNA is filed under the name Setaria viridis. RNAcentral's name for it is "long non-coding RNA (SVIR_LNC009449)". The record is from RNAcentral. Lineage: Eukaryota; Viridiplantae; Streptophyta; Magnoliopsida; Poales; Poaceae.
CAGGGCGCAAUAUACAACAUCCCAAAUAGGACGUAGGGUGUUACACUACUCUGGUGGCCCAAACCUGUAUAAAUUCAUGUCUUGUAUCCUCACUUUUACCUUCGAGUUCUAGGUCUAAUGAUUCCCUGCCAACCAAUCUACUACCUUAGGAUACGCCUUGGUAGGUUUUCGAGUAUAAAACACCAACAUUUGAUGCGCCAGGUAGAGGUGAUCGUCAAGAUCAUCACGCGGGCUUGAAGGACCUCAUCAUCAAGAUCAAUCUACUCUACAAGACAAGAACACUAUUCUCCC